AUCACUUCUUAGCCUUUUGGCUAAGAUCAGGUAUAGUAUCUGUAAUAUGCUCAGAAAAGGCUUUCACUGUCUUUAUUACACCUCUAAAUUAUUUCUAGAUUUUCCCUCUCUUUGCUGUCUGUGUGUGUGUGCACAAGCAUGUUUGCAAGUGUAGACAGAUACAUGCCUUAUACUUAAUUUAAAGUAGUAUUUGGCUUAAAAUUG
Anolis carolinensis (green anole) is the source of this 204-nucleotide small nuclear RNA. Its record names the gene U2. It matches the Rfam family "U2 spliceosomal RNA". From Rfam's summary of the family: U2 is a small nuclear RNA (snRNA) component of the spliceosome (involved in pre-mRNA splicing). Complementary binding between U2 snRNA (in an area lying towards the 5' end but 3' to hairpin I) and the branchpoint sequence (BPS) of the intron results the bulging out of an unpaired adenosine, on the BPS, which initiates a nucleophilic attack at the intronic 5' splice site, thus starting the first of two transesterification reactions that mediate splicing. Lineage: Eukaryota; Metazoa; Chordata; Lepidosauria; Squamata; Anolidae. The record is from Ensembl.